CCCUUAGAUGUUCUGGGCCGCACGCGCGCUACACUGACGAUGGCAACGAGUUUUUCCUUCGCCGAAAGGUGUGGGUAAUCUUUUGAAACAUCGUCGUGCUGGGGAUAGAUCAUUGCAAUUUUUGAUCUUGAACGAGGAAUUCCUAGUAAGCGCGAGUCAUCAGCUCGCGUUGAUUACGUCCCUGCCCUUUGUACACACCGCCCGUCGCUACUACCGAUUGAAUGGUUUAGUGAGGACUCCUGAUUGGCGCCGCCGCCCCGGCAACGGAGCAGCGGACUGCCGAAAAGUUGUUCAAACUUGAUCAUUUAGAGGAAGUAAAAAUCGUAACA
This 329-nucleotide ribosomal RNA is filed under the name uncultured eukaryote. RNAcentral describes it as "partial 18S ribosomal RNA". It matches the Rfam family "Eukaryotic small subunit ribosomal RNA", at positions 1470 to 1796 of the family's 1831-position model. The record is from RNAcentral.